UGGGGAAUUUUGGACAAUGGGGGAAACCCUGAUCCAGCCAUCCCGCGUGUGCGAUGAAGGCCUUCGGGUUGUAAAGCACUUUUGGCAGGAAAGAAACGUCAUGGGUUAAUACCCCGUGAAACUGACGGUACCUGCAGAAUAAGCACCAGCUAACUACGUGCCAGCAGCCGCGGUAAUACGUAGGGUGCAAGCGUUAAUCGGAAUUACUGGGCGUAAAGCGUGCGCAGGCGGUUCGGAAAGAAAGAUGUGAAAUCCCAGAGCUCAACUUUGGAACUGCAUUUUUAACUACCGGGCUAGAGUGUGUCAGAGGGAGGUGGAAUUCCGCGUGUAGCAGUGAAAUGCGUAGAUAUGCGGAGGAACACCGAUGGCGAAGGCAGCCUCCUGGGAUAACACUGACGCUCAUGCACGAAAGCGUGGGGAGCAAACAGG
This 429-nucleotide ribosomal RNA is filed under the name Acidobacteriota bacterium. Its description in RNAcentral is "Acidobacteria bacterium partial 16S ribosomal RNA". It matches the Rfam family "Bacterial small subunit ribosomal RNA", at positions 355 to 776 of the family's 1533-position model. The record is from RNAcentral. Lineage: Bacteria; Pseudomonadati; Acidobacteriota.